This 308-nucleotide long non-coding RNA is filed under the name Carica papaya (papaya). RNAcentral describes it as "long non-coding RNA (CPAP_LNC003876)". Lineage: Eukaryota; Viridiplantae; Streptophyta; Magnoliopsida; Brassicales; Caricaceae. The record is from RNAcentral.
UGGAUUGAGCUUUCCAGAUCUUCAUAAAAAGAUCAGGCAAAGAUCAAAUCCGGGUGAGAUAGGAACCAUUGGCAUAAUGGUUAAGGCGGAGUGCCUAAAUAGCAUCAACUAGUUUCCAACUGGAAGCCAUGGUUUUGGGCCAACACAGCGGACUCCUUCUGGCUCAGCACGUCUGUGACUAUAUUUCCUCUACCAGGAUGGUAGAUGAUCUUGCAGUCAUAGUCCUUCAAGAGGUCCAUUUAAUGUCUCUAUCUCAUGUUCAACUCCCUCUGUGAGAAAAUAUACUUUCAACUUUUGUGGUCAAUGUA